RNAcentral lists this ribosomal RNA (253 nucleotides) under uncultured bacterium. RNAcentral's name for it is "partial 16S ribosomal RNA". It matches the Rfam family "Bacterial small subunit ribosomal RNA", at positions 524 to 776 of the family's 1533-position model. The record is from RNAcentral.
UACGUAGGGGGCAAGCGUUGUCCGGAUUUAUUGGGCGUAAAGAGCGUGUAGGCGGCUAGGUAGGUCCGUUGUGAAAACUCGAGGCUCAACCUCGAGCUGUCGAUGGAAACCAUCUGGCUAGAGUCCGGAAGAGGAGAGUGGAAUUCCUGGUGUAGCGGUGAAAUGCGCAGAUAUCAGGAAGAACACCCGUGGCGAAGGCGGCUCGCUAGGACGGUACUGACGCUGAGGCGCGAAAGCGUGGGGAGCGAACAGG